Long non-coding RNA from Populus nigra (black poplar), 543 nucleotides. RefSeq lists it as uncharacterized. The transcript is spliced from 2 exons. The record is from RefSeq and is a predicted model, not a curated record. NCBI's taxonomy places the organism in Eukaryota, Viridiplantae, Streptophyta, Magnoliopsida, Malpighiales, Salicaceae.
UCUUAAAAAAGGACGCAUGCUUACCCAAAACUGCAGUUGCCGAACCAGUCCAGACUCUAGGAUGCAGGACACCAAGACGCAGCGAAUAUCAGAUACCAGCGGCUCUGGUGUGCCCGCCACCGCCCAAGAAGAAACCCUGUUAUGCGAAGCAAAGAAGGAACCCUCCAAAGGAAGGAUAUUUUCAGCCUCCUGAUCUUGAAGCAAUCUUGCUGAAUAUUGCAGCAAGAAGGGAAGCUUGUGCUUGACCAGCUAGCUAGCUGUGUGCAACAACUGUGAAGUAAGGUGGCUUUUAUUUUUUAAUUACGUAACUAGUUUUGUAUACUUGUAGCUUGUUGAGAUCCUUGGAUUACAUCAUCUUUCUCUAAUUGAAGAUAAACUGCCAAUCCCUAGAAGGAAAACUACUUGUUUGUUAGCAGGAUUGUGGCUAGCUAGGCUAGUAAUUAGAAACAUGUUCUAUUCUUGCACUCUGUUUCUCAGGUUCUUAAACUUUCAUACGAUGGAUGUCUAUCACUCUUGCUAUAUAUAAUGGUUCCUCUUCACUCA